Molecule: ribosomal RNA, 494 nt
Filed under: uncultured bacterium
Lineage: Bacteria
Description: partial 16S ribosomal RNA
Rfam family: Bacterial small subunit ribosomal RNA
Source: RNAcentral
GACGAACGCUGGCGGCGUGCUUAACACAUGCAAGUCGAACGGAAAGGCCUGCUUUCCCUUGUGGAUUGCGGGUACUCGAGUGGCGAACGGGUGAGUAACACGUGAGUGAUCUGCCCCCAACUUGGGUAUAAGCCUGGGAAACUGGGUCUAAUUCCCGAUAGGACUGCAGGGUGGUGCCUGUGGUGGAAAACGAUUUUCUAGUGGUUGGGGAUGAGCUCGCGGCCUAUCAGCUUGUUGGUGGGGUAAUGGCCUACCAAGGCGGCGACGGGUAGCCGGCCUGGGAGGGUGGACGGCCACAUUGGGACUGAGAUACGGCCCAGACUCCUACGGGAGGCAGCAGUGGGGAAUAUUGCACAAUGGGCGGAAGCCUGAUGCAGCGACGCCGCGUGGGGGAUGACGGCCUUCGAGUUGUAAACUCCUUUCGACCGCGAGGAAGCCACCUGGUUGGAAGGGUGGUGACGGUAGUGGUAGAAGAAGCACCGGCUAACUACGUG